GGAAAAGGCGCCGAAUCUAGGAACGCGCCGAAUCCAAGAACGUGCAUUUUCGCACACCACCUCUUUUCCUUCGAUUGCUGCAUUUUCCAGGAACGCGCCGAAUCCACCCUUCAUCUUCUUAGGAAAAAGAAAAGGGACACCCUCCAUCUCGAGUUGAAUUAUUCCAAGCUUGCUUUACUCAUGCCAAUGGAAGUCCUUCAAGUAUUAUUGUAGCAGAAAGAUUGAUUGGAUGUUCUGUUUUGAUCAAAAGUUUAUUUGAUUCAACGAAAAUUGUGGCAAAAGGAGUGCUCCAUAGCAUGGAUCCAAAUACUAUAGUAGGGAGAUAAGAACUAGGACCAAAUUGGUGUGAAGUAAGAAUACAAGUUGUCCUAGAACCAUAAGAUAGUUUAAUUAGACCUUAUGAUCUUUUACAGAAGUUUAAGGAUACACUUGGAGGAAUGAUAUCUUGGCCUUAUCAUCUGUUAACAGUAAACAAAGAUUACUAUUAGGUGGAUAUGGAAUGAUACUUUACAUUUUC
Zingiber officinale is the source of this 517-nucleotide long non-coding RNA. RefSeq lists it as uncharacterized. The transcript has 4 exons. NCBI's taxonomy places the organism in Eukaryota, Viridiplantae, Streptophyta, Magnoliopsida, Zingiberales, Zingiberaceae. The record is from RefSeq and is a predicted model, not a curated record.